AUUGAACGCUGGCGGCAGGCCUAACACAUGCAAGUCGAACGAGUGGCGGACGGGUGAGUAAUGUCUGGGAAACUGCCUGAUGGAGGGGGAUAACUACUGGAAACGGUAGCUAAUACCGCCUACCAUCGGAUGUGCCCAGAUGGGAUUAGCUAGUAGGUGGGGUAAAGGCUCACCUAAGCGACGAUCCCUAGCUGGUCUGAGUGGAUGACCAGCCAAACGGGAACUGAGACACGGUCCAGACUCCUACGGGAGGCAGAAGUGGGGAAUAUGGCACAAGGGGCGCAAGCCUGCUGCAGCCAUGCCGCGUGUGUGAAGAAGGCCUUCGGGUUGUGAAGUACUUUAAGCGGGGAGGCGUUACCCGCAGAAGAAGCACCGGCUAACUCCGUGCCAGCAGCCGCGGUAAUAC
RNAcentral lists this ribosomal RNA (406 nucleotides) under uncultured bacterium. RNAcentral's name for it is "partial 16S ribosomal RNA". It matches the Rfam family "Bacterial small subunit ribosomal RNA", at positions 30 to 526 of the family's 1533-position model. The record is from RNAcentral.